RNAcentral lists this ribosomal RNA (529 nucleotides) under uncultured bacterium. RNAcentral describes it as "bacterial SSU rRNA". It matches the Rfam family "Bacterial small subunit ribosomal RNA", at positions 201 to 750 of the family's 1533-position model. The record is from RNAcentral.
GAAAAGAUUUAUCGGUGUAAGAUGGACCCGCGUCUGAUUAGCUAGUUGGUGUGGUAACGGCAUACCAAGGCGACGAUCAGUAGCCGGCCUGAGAGGGUGAACGGCCACAUUGGGACUGAGAUACGGCCCAGACUCCUACGGGAGGCAGCAGUGGGGAAUAUUGCACAAUGGAGGCAACUCUGAUGCAGCGACGCCGCGUGAGUGAAGAAGUAUUUCGGUAUGUAAAGCUCUAUCAGUAGGGAAGAUAAUGACGGUACCUACAGAAGAAGCCCCGGCUAAAUACGUGCCAGCAGCCGCGGUAAUACGUAUGGGGCAAGCGUUAUCCGGAUUUACUGGGUGUAAAGGGAGUGUAGGCGGCAGUACAAGUCAGGAGUGAAAACUUGGGGCUCAACCCCAAGACUGCUUUUGAAACUGUACAGCUAGAGUGUAGGAAGGGCAAGCGGAAUUCCUGGUGUAGCGGUGAAAUGCGUAGAUAUCAGGAGGAACACCAGUGGCGAAGGCGGCUUGCUGGACUAUAACUGACGCUGAG